This 211-nucleotide ribosomal RNA is filed under the name uncultured Staphylococcus sp. RNAcentral's name for it is "partial 16S ribosomal RNA". It matches the Rfam family "Bacterial small subunit ribosomal RNA", at positions 150 to 355 of the family's 1533-position model. The record is from RNAcentral. Lineage: Bacteria; Bacillati; Bacillota; Bacilli; Caryophanales; Staphylococcaceae.
CGGGAAACCGGAGCUAAUACCGGAUAAUAUUCGAACCGCAUGGUUCGAUAGUGAAAGGUGGUUUUGCUAUCACUUAUAGAUGGACCCGCGCCGUAUUAGCUAGUUGGUAAGGUAACGGCUUACCAAGGCGACGAUACGUAGCCGACCUGAGAGGGUGAUCGGCCACACUGGAACUGAGACACGGUCCAGACUCCUACGGGAGGCAGCAGCU